Hippocampus zosterae (dwarf seahorse) is the source of this 763-nucleotide long non-coding RNA. RefSeq lists it as uncharacterized. The record is from RefSeq and is a predicted model, not a curated record. The transcript is spliced from 3 exons. NCBI's taxonomy places the organism in Eukaryota, Metazoa, Chordata, Actinopteri, Syngnathiformes, Syngnathidae.
GUUUUCCUGACAUUUUCUUUGCUCUCUAGCAGAAGCCUGUGAAGGAUUUGAUCUUACACUGACUGGUCUUUGGAAUUGUUCAUAAUUCCAUCCACCUUGACUAAAGCCAACUCCCAGCUGAAAAAAACACAUUGUGUAGUGUCUGUUUUUAAAGUGUUGAAGGACUUCCUUGUACCCCCGAUUUGAUGUUUUAAAUGAAUCAAACCGCAUAUUAGAUUGAAGAACUACUUGGUGCAGAAAUGAUCUACACAUUUAUUCAAACGUCUAAUAAUAAUGACCGAAAUGCUGACCGUUUUCUCCAUAAUUUUCUGGUCGAUCCUCUUGGAUGUAGGGAAUCUCAUCCAUACGGAGGAACACGGUGUCAUUGGGACUCCGCUGGCCAUCAGAUUUGCUACCUGUGUGAAGAAAGGUGCCAGUCAACACUAGCCUUGAAGGUGUUGCGAAGGCCCGCGUGGGGAUGGAGCUGAGCUAGCCGAGCCAGUCCCAGGCGGGUGUGGGCGCUGGUGAGGGGGAGGGCGAUACUGUGGGAACGAGCUUCCACCACAGACUGUCUCCCUUUCGUGUCUGGGUCCACCGGGUCCGGCGUCUGGGGGGAGCUGUCCAUCCGUGUGGCCGUUAGGGCGUUUUGGUCUGUGAGCUGUCGGACCGAGUAGUCUGGUAAGUAGAGCCCUCCUGCAGAGAGCUGACCAAUACUGCCGCCACUCAGCAGCGAGUCUGAUUGGUUCAGACCACUGCUGCGAGAGUUGUAUCGAUGACCUGCAUG